Long non-coding RNA from Mastomys coucha (southern multimammate mouse), 603 nucleotides. RefSeq lists it as uncharacterized. The record is from RefSeq and is a predicted model, not a curated record. The transcript is spliced from 2 exons. Lineage: Eukaryota; Metazoa; Chordata; Mammalia; Rodentia; Muridae.
GGCAGAGACCAUAAGGGGUGCUCUGCUCUGCACAUCUGGAGAGAUGCCACCUUGAUCUGCCCUGCAGCUGGAGUUUCCCAGGGUCCUGAUCCUCAAAUCAAAGACUUCUAUUGGAGACUGAACCUGACAUUCAGCUAAGAUCUGUGGCACAGGUCAGGUUGCAUGUGAUCCAAAUUAUGCAUGGAAGGAAGAUGGUGUUCUCAGGCUCUGUGAUACCCAGAGCUCACUAAUGUCUAAAGGAGGAAAUAGAACUGGCUGGGGCCUUGCAGGUCCUAUAUUCCACCUCCAGAGAUCCUGACAUUUUCAACAAGCACGUGCUGAUGUUCAGAAAGCUGGCCAUUCGUGUCUCCAGAAUCAAGAAUCGUGAUCAUAACUUGGCGAGCACUUAGAAGUAUGGAACCUAUCAAGCAAAACUCUCCAGGCAAUGAGACACGUGAAAGCUUUUAUUUUAUAUAUCUUAAACCCCAUGUUUAAGACAACUGUUUCAUUUGAGCUGGACAAACGUCUGUGGUCGGGAGCACCAGUGUUUUGCCCCUGUUGUACUCCCUGAGAAAUGGAGACUGGUGGAGGCUUCUCGAGCAAUAAAAAGUGAAACCACCAAUG